UUGGGCCUCGGAGGAGCGCCAGAGAGAUGGAGCGUCUAAAAAGACCUCGCUGAAAAUGCCGUCGAGGGGUGGCGGAAACCUGUCCCCCGCGCGGGGGGCAGCCUCCUGCCGGGGUGCGGGCAAGCCCCGGGGCUGCUGCUGCCUCGCUAGGUCUGUCGAUGCUGGCUCCAGAAAAAGCUGUCCAAGUCCUGUUCUCUGGAACGGCUCCUGUGGGAUCCGCGUCCAAAAAUGUUGAGCAACACCGCAGACAGCCAAAAAGCCAUUUCCUACUUGCUCCUAGGACUUUUCCAGGGGACUCCAGCCUGGCAGAGGCUGGCAAGUUUGCAGUCUUUGCGCUUGACAAAAAUCCAAACGGUGGCCGCGAAGAUUUUGCCCACCCUCAGGGUAGGAGGCGGUGGGCUCCAGCAGUCCAUCGGGGCGUGCGGCAGAGCUGGCGUUCCCGUUACGAGAGAAGGCUGUAAACUGGAAAGGCUCCAGGACAGUGGGUCGUGCGCCGGGCUCAGUGUUCACGGUCACAGUGUGAGUUUAUGGACGGGGAGUUUGAUCUGGAAACGAAUUUGCGGCUUCCUCAUGUCCUUUGUACACCACUGAUCUUGGGCUUGGGCUAGAGAGCUGGAUGAACGGCCGAGAGCCAGCCAGGAGCAGGAGGCACUGAGAAAGGGGGAGAGACGAAUCACUAACUUUUAGGAAUGAAAGACACAACGAAAGGUAACCUUCGACACGACUCAGCCCCCCCAAACCCCGCUGCUCCGCCGGCACCGGGAAAGCUCUUCUGUUCCUCUCUGCCUUUGCUUUGCUCAGCGCAAAAAAGAACCCAGUAAUAACCAAGACAGAGGGCACGGCGAGGGCCGGAGGUGCCUGCGGAGGCGAGGGCAGCGCACGUCCGAGGCCGUCCUGUUUGAACACGCUCCAGACGGAGCUUUGAUCCCCGCUGGGGAGCAAGCACCGGGUAUCUCUGCUUUGUUGGCCGUCGCUAUCUGUUGGCGAUAAGGGGUGGCCGGGGGAGCUGCCCUCGCAGCCCUUCUGCUGCAGGCUCUGUGCGGAAAGCGGUCGGCGGGGCGAUGCGGCGGCCGCGGGAGAGGGGGCACUGCAGCCCCAGGAAAGGCUCAGAGCGGGAGGCCCUGCCCGCCUGUCUCCCUGCCUGCCCGCCUGCCUCCUGGGGAGGGCACCGGCCCCGGAGCUGCGCCUCGGGGCUUCUCCGGCUUCCUCUCCUCCCAAGUCUGGCCCUCCUUCCCCCGACCCCUCGUCCUUUGCACGUCUUUAUUAUUUCUAGUAUUAAACAAAAGAAAUUUGUCCUCGAAGUCAAGCGGCAGGAUCCGAUGUUUUUUCUCUCUCUUAAACGAAGCUGAAUUAAGCCUCUGAAGCAAAGAUGCCCCGAAGAGAAUGGGGGCAGAAAGUAAAACCGUCUCCCGUGAAAAACGCGCUCAGGCUGAGGUGCCCCGGGCUGGGCUCGCAGGGUCCCCGGCGGAGCUCCCAGCCCUUUGCACGCCCUCCACUAGUGCAUCCUCGGCUCUGGUGAGUGCACGGCUCAGCUAUUGCUUCCACAUGUUCCUCCAGGAAAUCAUCGGAGUCGGAGCUGUGAGCAGCCCCUGGUCGGAAUGCUUGCGAAUAAACAACAGGCUCCCAGUGAGCCAAAAGCAUGCCCCCCCCCAAAAAAAAAAAAAUAUAAAGGUGGGAGGGGAAGAAACAAACAAACAAACAACCCUGCACCCUGGAACUCUCUACCUGGGCAGUGGGGGCGAGCACAGCCAGCAACCUGAACCCCUUAAUUUGUGGAGGGCAAGGUCCUCUCAUGACUUGGGUCAGAGUUGCAGGCUCUCAUAGAUUUAGGGCCCACGAAGACGUGCGGUUCAGACUGGCGGCAAAUAACUGCCUGGGAGCUCGGAGGCGAUCCAGCCCUGCCAGGCUCGGGGCGUGAUUUACCGGCGUGAACGUAUCUGUUUUAACGUGCGAGGUGGUGGCGGUGAUUCUUGGCGAAGUACCGUCAGGAUGGGAUGUAAUGCGAGAGUUACUCUUACGAAAAGAAAGGAGCAAAAGGAAGAGGAGGAGGCGCCUUCUGGUUGCAAUUACCUGCCUCAUUUGAAUAAUGUCUUUGUCAUGAUCAUUAUCGAGCGGUUGUUAACGGCUUCCACGUGGGAUCUCACAAGACUCGGCGAAAAACAAAAAUUGCAAAUUGGGGCACUGGCAAAGCUGCCGGCCCGGCCAGGCUGGCGCUGCGGGCGGGGAGCCCGACGGCCUCUGCGGGGGCAGGGACGGUGGUAUCGCCGUCGCCUCAGGGCCUCUCCGGGGAGCAGUGACACUUUCCCCGACGUGGCUUCACCCUUCCCCAAGCAAAGGACCGGGCCGCGCUGUCCCCACACUCGCCGCACCGGGGAGAGACCGCACGGCCCGGGACGGGCAGCUGCUGGGCCGAUCCCUCUCCGAAAUGCCGGCGGUGCCUAUGGAUUGGUCCCGCGCAGAGGAGAUGGUAGUUAAAAUAAACCCUCCAGGACGGCUCCUGAGCUCUACCCCCCGCCCCGUGCGGCUCAGGGGGGUCCUGUCCAGGGAGGAGCGGGAGACUUGGGGUUAGCGAGAGGACAGGCUGGGGGUGGGGGGAUUUGCACCACUGCAGCCCCCUCUCCUCGCCCCUCUCCUCCCGCCUUCCCCUCCCCCGAAAGGCUGGAGCAUAAGGCAUCCCGCUAGCGUGUGUUUAUGCGGCAACAGAUGGAAGCUGCACAUCUUAAACAAAACUGCGGCGACCGGGCUAGAGCCACUCUCGCCUGUUUACGCUCCCAACCUGCCCCCCUGGGGGUGUGUUCCUCCCCGCAGCGCCCGCAGAGUCCGGGCAACGAGCCCCGACGGGGCGGGUUUUUGCAGGGCGGCUCGCUCCGCUCUCGGACGCUUCCAGGGGAGCUGGGAGCAGUUGAGCGCCCCCCCAUCCUCAAGGAGUCCCAAUUUGCUGAGAAUAAUGAGCCCUUCCCUGCAACUCUCUCCCAAGGGUGAGCCGGGCAGCGUUUAGCUGCCUGAGGCUAUUAGGCAGCCUAAUAGGUGGCUCAUGUGGGGUCUGAACGGCCUCCUGCGGGGCGUGGGCGAGCGAGAUGGGGUGCCCCGGCUCGGCGCCCCGCGGGAAGUCCCGUCAUGGGGCCGCAGCCUUUUGUCUCGGUGGGAAGGCAGGUCUGGGUUUGAUUAUCGUUACCCACGUUGCAGCGAUGCACGGUGCGGGGGUCAGCUACAGCUGGCUCACGCUUUUGGAGCAGGAGCCCCAGCCUGGUAAAGAGCAGCUCCAGCCUGAAGCAGAGACCCCUCAAACUCCCUAGUGAGGAAGGAGGCAGAACAGCCUCUCAUCGUCGCUAUAAAUCUGUGCUCGCAUCUACCGUGGAGGGAGGAGAACACAGCGGUGAGGGCUUCCUACUACAGAAGAGGAGCAAGUCAGGGGACCGCCAAGCCCCCUAGCCCCUCCGGGAGGGGUGUGCUGCCUGCAGGAGGUCACUGUGUGCAUUUACAGUCCUACCAGUUGUUGGGAGGGGGAUUUUGUGUUUAAGUUAGUUUGUUAUUUUUUUUCUUUCCCUCUUGCCACAACAUCAGAUUCCCUUAUUCUGUUUGUUCAAAAUGAUGUGACUCUGAAUAGCAGGGAUUCCGUGUCACCGGGAGAGCAGGAAGCCAGACAAAAGAAAUUAUGGGCUGCCCUGAGUUUGCCCAGUCUCCCCUCAGUAACCUUUAUUUUGAUUCCCCACAUGGUUGGUUAACGUAGUUCCCCGUGCCCAUCGUUUUCUCACUGAGGCCGCUGCUGUUGCAGCGUUUUGCCUUCAUUGUUGUGUUUGGCUCUUGACAUUAAAAGAUGCCAAAACAGCCGUGGAAGCCUUAAUGUUUGAAAAACAAACUUUGUUUUUCCUUCUUCUCCCUCCCUGACUUUUUAACUGGGACAGAAAGAAAAGGCCACUCUGGUUCAGAAGUGGCCCAAACCCAAUUUAAGGGUAAGGCAGCCCAGAAAGGCGAGAGGAAGACGGGUUGUUCCUCCCGCCAGCACUUCACUAGCGCCUUGCUCCGCCCUUCGCGCUGCCCCAGCCCCCCAACCCCCGGGGCGGGGAGCUCCCGGAGCCCCCUUUCACCACCGGCCGAGGGUGCCCGGGCAGCGGCGCCACCGCCCGCAACGCUAGAGGGCAGCGGAGCCCGCGGGAGCAGCGAGCCCGACGGAGCCCGGGGCAUCGGGCGCCCCGCCAGUCUGCGGUGUCUCUGUUGUUGAUUCGACUGGGUUUGUAAAGAACGGGGAAGACGGGCCGCCCUCCCAUCCCCGCAGGUCCAGCCCUGUACUGCCCCGAGCUGUCGUGGGCCGGGCUCAGCAGCUCGGGAUGUGGCAUGCUGCAAGUAAAGAACAGAGAGCUAUUCCUCCCGAGCCACAAAUGAAAAGUUUUCUCUCUGAAAUCAAAGGACCUCCUGGGCUGAUUCAGCCCAGGUUUGAUUUCGGUUCAUAAGUCCCGAGACCAUUAUCUCUGCCUUUGUUCUUUCAAGCUGCAGCAAUUAAUGGAUUACAGCGGGACACAAGCACAACCAGACCAGGCUGCUUUGGUUCUUUGUCUACUUACUAUUAGUAUCAGCUUUGCCCCCUCGGGCAGCUGCGUUUAGGGACCUAGCCCUGAGAUCUGCAUGGGGAACCUGGCUGGUGCGGAGGCCACCCUGGACAUAGUAGUCACAGUUACCCUGGACACAAUGGGCAUAGGCCAGCCCUGGUCCAUGUCAGCAUCAACCCCCACAUAUGCCAUGACUGACCUCAUCCACUGUACAUCCCUCCCACGGGCACAGAAGAGCCAAGGUAGGCUGAGCAUCAUGGCGGGGGGGAGACUCACAAGAGCCAGACCUCUUUACUGACUACCCUGAAUUGCCCAGCUCCAGACAUGGGAUAUCAUUUUUCUGCUUCUUCUCAGGACAGAUUUUCUUCUGAUGCUUAGUGAUAAACAACUCAUCCCUCUGUGAUGAUUUGCCACAGAAUAACUGGAGCCAUGGCCAAGGUUUCUGAAUUAUAAUUUGCUUUCUAAAAGAAUCCCUUACCUCCCUGCAUAUUUCAUGCUCUAAAAUACCAUGACAAACAGAACAUUAUUCCUCUGUUUCUGUGGCAUGUAGAUUCUGAGAAUAAGUCUCCUCAUGCCAGGGAUGAAGGGGAAGAAGAGCCAACAAUGCCUCCUAAGAGAAUGAAGAGUUGGGGUUUGUGUGGAAACAGUGGAGGUUUUGAGUCAUCCAAUACUUUCCAAUACAGGUCAACCCCUAAUCCACCAUUAAGAACUGCAAGGAUCAGCAUCAGCAUUGACAAAAUCAGCAGAAAGCUCCAGACCUGGAAACAAAUCUAGUCAUUCCUCUUAGUUAUUGAAUUCAAGUCUUCGUUUUACCAAGAUAGUGCUAGAGGUGUGUCGGCAGGAGGUGUGAAUCACAUUGUCAUUCUUCUUGCAGCACUGUGUGUUUCCUGUACUCAGACACAAAACUGAGGUCGGUUCCACAACCGUAAUCUGUGAUGGAAGAAAUCAAACAGAUGCCAAUCACACCUAGAGCCACUCCAAGAGUGCCGGUGACUGAAGCCUGAACAUGCAUUCUUGAGUUGGGAUGCAGGAGGGACUGAUACUGAAAAGUCAGGGCAAACUGUUUCUCUCUUUUUUAUCACUUCUAGAAAAGACUAUUUUGGCUUUUCUCUUUGUCUGAGGUCACCAGAUUCCAUUCGAAGCUUCCUCUGAUGCUGCAGGGAACACUUGCUACUUCAGUUACAAGUCUGCACAUUGUUGACAAUCCUUUAGAGUACUCUGUUAUAUGCACUUCAGUUGGGCAAGGUGGUUGAAAAGGAAGGAAUGAAGAAGUGAGAUGAGAGGAAAAUACAGAGAUAGGUCCCUUCCCUGUAGCCAUGGCAGUGAAGCUACAGCUCAGGCUCAGCUCAGCCAGGGGACCUCUGGCAUGACUCAUGAAGAGAGGAUACAGCAGUAUGUAGGUAGAUGUUGAUCCUUGGACUUCUGUCUGUUUUAGUCAGAUACCCCAGUUUUUAACCUAAACUGUCUUUUGAGAAAGUGUCUAGUGUGGAAACUGGGACAGAUUCUGCUUUGUGUAAAUCUGGUGUAACUCCAACUUCAAGGGAAAUAUGCCAGAUUAAAUCUGGUAUAAUUACGAUUAAAAAUUGGCUCUGCAAGUCUUUUCUUUGGCAAUAAAUUUAGAGAAGUACUGUGAAGAAAAAUAAUUCAAACCAGAACAUUGUUUCAGUGCUGUUUUAAAUAACAUAUGCUAUAGGAGCUUUGAAGGCAUUUGUUCUCCAUGGCAGCAGUAUUUUAAAACUUUCACUUUGUUUCCACUAACCAAGUUAACCCUUGAUAACCAACUGUGUUUACAAUAUGUUAUAUACAGAAGUUUAUCAUUUUAUAGGCAUUUCCUCCUCAAAAAAAAAAAAAAAAAAAAAAAAAAAGUUAAAAUUAUG
Molecule: long non-coding RNA, 6424 nt
Organism: Columba livia (rock pigeon)
Lineage: Eukaryota; Metazoa; Chordata; Aves; Columbiformes; Columbidae
Exons: 2
Source: RefSeq, a predicted model, not a curated record